AGUUCUAAAACAAAAAGUUCAUUUCUUACUUUGGGCCGCCCACAGUUCACAAUCAAAUCAGACCUUAAGUUUGAAUAACAUAAUAUUACCUUGAUGUUGUAUAAACCACUAAGAAAAUCCUUUUAUUACAUUUAACAUAUAAUACAACAACUUAGUCUUCUAGAGCUCAUGCUCUACCUAUCCUUAUGCUUCUUAAUCUG
This 200-nucleotide long non-coding RNA is filed under the name Solanum tuberosum (potato). RNAcentral describes it as "long non-coding RNA (STUB_LNC008637)". Lineage: Eukaryota; Viridiplantae; Streptophyta; Magnoliopsida; Solanales; Solanaceae. The record is from RNAcentral.